RNAcentral lists this ribosomal RNA (474 nucleotides) under Neobatrachus pictus. Its description in RNAcentral is "partial 12S ribosomal RNA". Lineage: Eukaryota; Metazoa; Chordata; Amphibia; Anura; Limnodynastidae. The record is from RNAcentral.
GUUUGGUCCUAGCCUUAUCAUCAAGUUUUACUUAAUUUACACAUGCAAGUCUCCGCACCCCGGUGAAAACGCCCCUAAGCUCCUCCUAGGAGCACGGAGCUGGUAUCAGGCCCAACCCACUUUGCCCAUGACACCUAGCCACGCCACACCCCCAAGGGUAUUCAGCAGUGAUUAACAUUAAAAAUUAGCGACAGCUAGAUUUAGUUAAAGUAAACAGGGCCGGCAAAUCUGGUGCCAGCCGCCGCGGCUACACCACGAGGCCCAAUUUGAUGGUCACCGGCGUAAAGCGUGAUUAAAGCACAUAUUACUAUUAGAGCUAAAUUAUAGUUGCACUGUGAUAAGUUCACUAUUUAGAAAACCGAGAACGAAAGUCGCUCUAACCUCACCUACUUGAACUCACGACAGCUAAGAAACAAACUGAGAUUAGAUACCUCACUAUGCUUAGCCGUAAACCCUUUAACUACUCACCAAAUC